CAGUAGCCGCGGGAAAACAGAGGGUGCGAGCGUUAAUCGGAUUUACUGGGCGUAAAGCGUGCGUAGGCGGCUUUUUAAGUCGGAUGUGAAAUCCCUGAGCUUAACUUAGGAAUUGCAUUCGAUACUGGGAAGCUAGAGUAUGGGAGAGGAUGGUAGAAUUCCAAGUGUAGCGGUGAAAUGCGUAGAGAUCUGGAGGAAUACCGAUGGCGAAGGCAGCCAUCUGGCCUAAUACUGACGCUGAGGUACGAAAGCAUGGGGAGCAAACAGGAUUAGAUACCCGAGUAGUCCCUGUCUCUUAUAC
RNAcentral lists this ribosomal RNA (301 nucleotides) under uncultured bacterium. RNAcentral's name for it is "partial 16S ribosomal RNA". It matches the Rfam family "Bacterial small subunit ribosomal RNA", at positions 509 to 807 of the family's 1533-position model. The record is from RNAcentral.